UUCGCAAUGCCCGAAAGGGUGACGAAGCGACGCCGCGUGAGCGAAGAAGGCCUUAGGGUUGUAAAGCUCUGUCGAGGGUUAUGAAAUGUAAACAGGUUAAUACCCUGUUUGUUUGACAAAAGCCCAAGAGGAAGUCACGGCUAACUCUGUGCCAGCAGCCGCGGUAAUACAGAGGUGGCAAGCGUUGUUCGGUAUUAUUGGGCGUAAAGAGCACGUAGGUGGUUUUAUAAGUCAGGUGUGAAAGCCUUCUGUUCAAAGGAAGAACGGCAUCUGAAACUGUAGAUCUUGAGUGUAGGAGGGGAGAGUGGAACUUCUGGUGGAGCGGUGAAAUGCGUAGAUAUCAGAAGGAACGUCGGCGGCGAAAGCGACUCUCUGGCCUAUUACUGACACUGAGGUGCGAAAGUUAGGGGAGCAAACGGGAUUAGAUACCCCGGUAGUCCUAACCGUAAACGAUGGGCACUAAGUAGAGGGGUUUU
Molecule: ribosomal RNA, 476 nt
Filed under: Candidatus Scalindua wagneri
Lineage: Bacteria; Pseudomonadati; Planctomycetota; Candidatus Brocadiia; Candidatus Brocadiales; Candidatus Scalinduaceae
Description: bacterial SSU rRNA
Rfam family: Bacterial small subunit ribosomal RNA
Source: RNAcentral